CCUACGGGAGGCAGCAGUGAGGAAUAUUGGUCAAUGGACGAGAGUCUGAACCAGCCAAGUAGCGUGAAGGAUGACUGCCCUAUGGGUUGUAAACUUCUUUUAUAAAGGAAUAAAACGAGGCACGUGUGCCUUUUUGCAUGUACUUUAUGAAUAAGGAUCGGCUAACUCGGUGCCAGCAGCCGCGGUAAUACGGAGGAUCCGAGCGUUAUCCGGAUUUAUUGGGUUUAAGGGGAGCGUAGAUGGGUUGUUAAGUCAGUUGUGAAAGUUUGCGGCUCAACCGUAAAAUUGCAAUUGAUACUGGCAGUCUUGAGUACAGUUGAGGUAGGCGGAAUUCGUGGUGUAGCGGUGAAAUGCUUAGAUAUCACGAAGAACCCCGAUUGCGAAGGCAGCUUACUAGACUGUGACUGACAUUGAUGCUCGAAAGUGUGGGUAGCAAACAGGAUUAGAUACCCUUGUAGUC
RNAcentral lists this ribosomal RNA (460 nucleotides) under uncultured bacterium. Its description in RNAcentral is "partial 16S ribosomal RNA". It matches the Rfam family "Bacterial small subunit ribosomal RNA", at positions 338 to 795 of the family's 1533-position model. The record is from RNAcentral.